UGGGGAAUAUUGCACAAUGGGCGCAAGCCUGAUGCAGCCAUGCCGCGUGUAUGAAGAAGGCCUUCGGGUUGUAAAGUACUUUCAGUCGGGAGGAAGGUGGUAAGGUUAAUAACCUUAUCAAUUGACGUUACCGACAGAAGAAGCACCGGCUAACUCCGUGCCAGCAGCCGCGGUAAUACGGUGGGUGCAAGCGUUAAUCGGAAUUACUGGGCGUAAAGCGCACGCAGGCGGUUGAUUGAGUCAGAUGUGAAAUCCCCGGGCUUAACCCGGGAAUUGCAUCUGAUACUGGUCAGCUAGAGUCGUGUAGAGGGGGGUAGAAUUCCAUGUGUAGCGGUGAAAUGCGUAGAGAUGUGGAGGAAUACCGGUGGCGAAGGCGGCCCCCUGGACAAAGACUGACGCUCAGGUGCGAAAGCGUGGGGAGCAAACAGG
This 429-nucleotide ribosomal RNA is filed under the name Chloroflexota bacterium. RNAcentral's name for it is "Chloroflexi bacterium partial 16S ribosomal RNA". It matches the Rfam family "Bacterial small subunit ribosomal RNA", at positions 355 to 776 of the family's 1533-position model. Lineage: Bacteria; Bacillati; Chloroflexota. The record is from RNAcentral.